Molecule: ribosomal RNA, 460 nt
Filed under: uncultured Desulfosporosinus sp.
Lineage: Bacteria; Bacillati; Bacillota; Clostridia; Eubacteriales; Desulfitobacteriaceae
Description: bacterial SSU rRNA
Rfam family: Bacterial small subunit ribosomal RNA
Source: RNAcentral
ACAAGCGGUGGAGCAUGUGGUUUAAUUCGAUGCAACGCGAAGAACCUUACCUGGGCUUGACAUCCCAAGAAUCCCUGGAAACAGGGGAGUGCCCUUCGGGGAGCUUGGAGACAGGUGCUGCAUGGCUGUCAUCAGCUCGUGUCGUGAGAUGUUGGGUUAAGUCCCGCAACGAGCGCAACCCCUACGUUUAGUUGCUAACGCGUGAAGGCGAGCACUCUAGACGAACUGCCGUUGACAAAACGGAGGAAGGUGGGAUGACGUCAAAUCAUCAUGCCCCUUAUGUUCUGGGCUACACACGUGCUACAAUGGCCGGUACAGACGGAGGCGAAGCCGCGAGGCGGAGCAAAUCCGAAAAAGCCGGUCUCAGUUCGGAUUGCAGGCUGCAAUUCGCCUGCAUGAAGUCGGAAUCGCUAGUAAUCGCAGGUCAGCAUACUCGCGGUCGAAUACGUUCCCGGGCCUU